RNAcentral lists this ribosomal RNA (910 nucleotides) under Comoclathris compressa. Its description in RNAcentral is "LSU rRNA". It matches the Rfam family "Eukaryotic large subunit ribosomal RNA", at positions 38 to 963 of the family's 3401-position model. The record is from RNAcentral. Lineage: Eukaryota; Fungi; Ascomycota; Dothideomycetes; Pleosporales; Pleosporaceae.
GCAUAUCAAUAAGCGGAGGAAAAAGAAACCAACAGGGAUUGCCUCAGUAACGGCGAGUGAAGCGGCAUCAGCUCAAAUUUGAAAUCUGGCUCUUUUAGGGUCCGAGUUGUAAUUUGCAGAGGGCGCUUUGGCAUAGGCAGCGAUUCAAGUUCCUUGGAACAGGACGUCACAGAGGGUGAGAAUCCCGUACGUGGUCGCUAGCUCUUGCCGUGUAAAGCCCCUUCGACGAGUCGAGUUGUUUGGGAAUGCAGCUCUAAAUGGGAGGUAAAUUUCUUCUAAAGCUAAAUAUUGGCCAGAGACCGAUAGCGCACAAGUAGAGUGAUCGAAAGAUGAAAAGUACUUUGGAAAGAGAGUCAAAAAGCACGUGAAAUUGUUGAAAGGGAAGCGCUUGCAGCCAGACUUGCCUGUAGUUGCUCAUCCGGGCUUUUGCCCGGUGCAAUCUUCUGUAGGCAGGCCAGCAUCAGUUUGGGCGGUUGGAUAAAGGUCUCUGUCAUGUACCUCUCUUCGGGGAGGACUUAUAGGGGAGACGACAUACAACCAGCCUAGACUGAGGUCCGCGCAUUUAUGCUAGGAUGCUGGCGUAAUGGCUGUAAGCGGCCCGUCUUGAAACACGGACCAAGGAGUCUAACAUCUAUGCGAGUGUUUGGGUGUCAAGCCCGAGCGCGUAAUGAAAGUGAACGGAGGUGGGAACCCUUUUGGGCGCACCAUCGACCGAUCCUGAUGUCUUCGGAAGGAUUUGAGUAAGAGCAUGGCUGUUGGGACCCGAAAGAUGGUGAACUAUGCUUGAAUAGGGUGAAGCCAGAGGAAACUCUGGUGGAGGCUCGCAGCGGUUCUGACGUGCAAAUCGAUCGUCAAAUUUGGGCAUAGGGGCGAAAGACUAAUCGAACUAUCUAGUAGCUGGGUUCUGCGA